UUUCCUUAAAACAUUGGGGACAAUGUUUCAUUUAAGUAUGGGGGGAAAACCGUGUUCUUUCUAUCCUCCCUUUUUCAAGUAUGUACCUUUCUUUUCAUUGUUAUUUCCCUUGAAAUUAUAUUUAAAAAAAAAGAAUUUUAAAAAAAAUAAAAUAAAAAAAUAAUAUAUAUUUUAUUAUAAUAUAGAUUUAUUUUAAGUUAAGUCCCUAAUGUGAAAAAAAUUUCUAUUAUCUAUUCCCUCAAAAUUUUCAUGAGCCAUAACAAAAAUUCAACACACUCAGUAAGUAUAAAUGUUGCUUAAUUUAUCGAACUU
This 312-nucleotide long non-coding RNA is filed under the name Lathyrus oleraceus (garden pea). Its description in RNAcentral is "Pisum sativum (pea) long non-coding RNA (PSAT_LNC021035)". The record is from RNAcentral. Lineage: Eukaryota; Viridiplantae; Streptophyta; Magnoliopsida; Fabales; Fabaceae.